AACCAAUGGUGACGGCAUAUUCUCAAAAGGUCCUUGUAUUUAUCCCAUGCAUCAUAGAGUGCUUCUAAAUCCAUUUGCACAAAAGAAGAGAUAUCAUUAUGUAAUUU
Molecule: small nucleolar RNA, 107 nt
Filed under: Gossypium hirsutum (cotton)
Lineage: Eukaryota; Viridiplantae; Streptophyta; Magnoliopsida; Malvales; Malvaceae
Also listed under: 1 other name
Description: Plant small nucleolar RNA R71
Rfam family: Plant small nucleolar RNA R71
About the family: R71 is a member of the C/D box family of snoRNAs containing the C (UGAUGA) and D (CUGA) box motifs. Multiple nearly identical copies of this snoRNA have been identified in Arabidopsis, and it is thought to function as a 2'-O-ribose methylation guide for 18S ribosomal RNA.
Source: Rfam by way of RNAcentral